UACGGAGGGGACUAGCGUUGUUCGGAAUUACUGGGCGUAAAGCGCACGUAGGCGGAUUUGUAAGUCAGGUGGAAAUUCCGGGGCUCAACCUCGGAACUGCCUUUGAUACUGCAAAUCUCGAGUCCGGAAGAGGUGAGUGGAAUUCCUAGUGUAGAGGUGAAAUUCGUAGAUAUUAGGAAGAACACCCGUGGCGAAAGCGGCUCUCUGGAACGGUACUGACGCUGAGCCGCGAAAGCGUGGGGAGCGAACAGG
Molecule: ribosomal RNA, 252 nt
Filed under: uncultured bacterium
Lineage: Bacteria
Description: partial 16S ribosomal RNA
Rfam family: Bacterial small subunit ribosomal RNA
Source: RNAcentral